Non-coding RNA from Cinara cedri, 688 nucleotides. NCBI's taxonomy places the organism in Eukaryota, Metazoa, Arthropoda, Insecta, Hemiptera, Aphididae. The record is from the annotation of a GenBank genome assembly.
CUUUCUCAACUUCUCACCUACAACAGUGGAUGUGUCCGGUUUCAUUAUCCUAGGACAGUUUUUUAAAAUUGAAUCUAGUAGAUACUAAAAUGUAUACAAAUGUAACUAAUGAUAAAAAUAAUAAUACUCCAGGCUAGAUUUUAAAAAGAUGUAAAAUGAAAAAGGACAAAUAUACGGCAUAAGAUUUGAUUACUUUAAAUAUUUACGAUUUAUGUUUUCUAUCAGAAAUCUUGGUUCAAUUCAAAAACUACAAAACACAUUUUUUGUUUCAUUUUGCAUCUAGUUGGUGAAUAAAUAAGUCGUUUUUUGAUUUUCCAAACGGUUUACAUAAUAAUUGGGGAAAACCGAAAAAAGACGUAAAAUAAAACCAGACGAUACGGUGCGACGACGUAACAAUUUCAUUGUUUUACAUUUUUACGGUUUACGUUUUCUAUGAGAAAUAUCGCUCCAACCGAAAACCUAGCCUACAACAGUGGCACAUCCAACAGCAGUAUCAGCUCGUUUUAAUUUUCACCCUCAUGCAGGGUAUAAUUUUAUAUCAUAUGGUCCUCGUGAUUUGACCCGGCGGACCAAAUCCAAUAAAAAAUCCGCUCAUAUAGGUCGGGCCAGCGUCGGAAGACUCGUAGGAGGAACGGUCGUGUACUCUUCGCCCGUCAUUUAUCGCACCGUUGCGUCUUCGUGGUCCGAG